Molecule: transfer RNA, 77 nt
Filed under: Rhodobacteraceae bacterium HTCC2083
Lineage: Bacteria; Pseudomonadati; Pseudomonadota; Alphaproteobacteria; Rhodobacterales; Paracoccaceae
Description: tRNA-Arg
Rfam family: tRNA
About the family: Transfer RNA (tRNA) molecules are approximately 80 nucleotides in length. Their secondary structure includes four short double-helical elements and three loops (D, anti-codon, and T loops).
Source: RNAcentral
GCACCCAUAGCUCAGCUGGAUAGAGCGCUGCCCUCCGAAGGCAGAGGCCGAUGGUUCGAAUCCAUCUGGGUGCGCCA